AUACCAUGAUGAGGACAUCUCCUGAGUAUCUCCUUAAAUCUCUCCCAUGCAUCACACAAGCUCUCAUCUUCAAGUUGAUAACUUUAAACUAGCCAU
The sequence is a small nucleolar RNA, 96 nucleotides long. It matches the Rfam family "Plant small nucleolar RNA R71". Rfam says of the family: R71 is a member of the C/D box family of snoRNAs containing the C (UGAUGA) and D (CUGA) box motifs. Multiple nearly identical copies of this snoRNA have been identified in Arabidopsis, and it is thought to function as a 2'-O-ribose methylation guide for 18S ribosomal RNA. The record is from Rfam.